RNAcentral lists this long non-coding RNA (386 nucleotides) under Rattus norvegicus (Norway rat). RNAcentral's name for it is "long non-coding RNA NONRATT030031". The record is from RNAcentral. Lineage: Eukaryota; Metazoa; Chordata; Mammalia; Rodentia; Muridae.
CAAGCAGGUCGUGUUUCUCCAAAGGCCAGUGACAUGGAACUCAGCUGCUCAGACCCCAGAAAAUGGCCUAUAUGUCACCUUACAGAGGUAGCAGGUUCCAGUCUAUAUAUACAUCUGCUCUCCCUACUGGAAGGAAGAGAGUGACAACUGGAAAGGACCCUCUCUGACUCGAACCUGCAAAAGCAACCCUCUGUGAGAUAAUCUGCUCCCUCACCACUCCCUGGAGGCUCUGGCAUCGCUUUCCUUGCCGGUCUCUUGCUUCCAGCCUGUCAGCCUCUCAAAAAGCUAUGCUGAAUUCAGUCUUCCACACCAAGCCAUUCCUUUGCCUUUUUCUUCUUUAUAACGAAGUCCCUGUGUGCAUACAAAAUAAAUCCGUGCUGCUAACC